RNAcentral lists this ribosomal RNA (709 nucleotides) under uncultured Gemmobacter sp. Its description in RNAcentral is "bacterial SSU rRNA". It matches the Rfam family "Bacterial small subunit ribosomal RNA", at positions 803 to 1532 of the family's 1533-position model. The record is from RNAcentral. Lineage: Bacteria; Pseudomonadati; Pseudomonadota; Alphaproteobacteria; Rhodobacterales; Paracoccaceae.
UAAACGAUGAAUGCCAGUCGUCGGGUUGCAUGCAAUUCGGUGACACACCUAACGGAUUAAGCAUUCCGCCUGGGGAGUACGGCCGCAAGGUUAAAACCCAAAGGAAUUGACGGGGGCCCGCACAAGCGGUGGAGCAUGUAGUUUAAUUCGAAGCAACGCGCAGAACCUUACCAACCCUUGACAUGGCAGUGACCGUUCCAGAGAUGGUCCUUUCUCGCAAGAGACACUGCACACAGGUGCUGCAUGGCUGUCGUCAGCUCGUGUCGUGAGAUGCUCGGUUAAGUCCGGCAACGAGCGCAACCCACGCCUUUAGUUGCCAGCAUUCAGUUGGGCACUCUAAAGGAACUGCCGGUGAUAAGCCGGAGGAAGGUGUGGAUGACGUCAAGUCCUCAUGGCCCUUACGGGUUGGGCUACACACGUGCUACAAUGGUGGUGACAAUGGGUUAAUCCCUAAAAGCCAUCUCAGUUCGGAUUGUCGUCUGCAACUCGGCGGCAUGAAGUCGGAAUCGCUAGUAAUCGCGUAACAGCAUGACGCGGUGAAUACGUUCCCGGGCCUUGUACACACCGCCCGUCACACCAUGGGAAUUGGGUCUACCCGAAGACGGUGCGCCAACCUGCAAAGGGGGUAGCUGGCCACGGUAGGCUCAGUGACUGGGGUGAAGUCGUAACAAGGUAGCCGUAGGGGAACCUGCGGCUGGAUCACCUCCUU